This 772-nucleotide ribosomal RNA is filed under the name uncultured fungus. RNAcentral describes it as "eukaryotic LSU rRNA". It matches the Rfam family "Eukaryotic large subunit ribosomal RNA", at positions 24 to 664 of the family's 3401-position model. The record is from RNAcentral. Lineage: Eukaryota; Fungi.
CCCGCUGAACUUAAGCAUAUCAAUAAGCGGAGGAAAAGAAACUAACAAGGAUUCCCUCAGUAGCAGCGAGUGAAGCGGGAGGAGCUCAAAUUUAAAAUCUGGCGUAACAGCCCGAGUUGUAAACUAAAGAGGCGCUAUCGGACAUGAUCUGGCUGCACAAGUCUCCUGGAAUGGAGCAUCACAGAGGGUGAGAAUCCCGUCUGGGCAGCUGGCGCGUGGCCAUAUGAGGCGUUCUCAAAGAGUCGAGUUGUUUGGGAUUGCAGCUCAAAAUGGGUGGUAAAUUUCAUCUAAGGCUAAAUAAUGGCAAGAGACCGAUAGCAAACAAGUACCGUGAGGGAAAGAUGAAAAGCACCUUGAAAAGGGAGUUAAAAGCGCGUGAAAUUGUUAAAAGGGAAACAAUUGAAGCCAGUAGGGCCAAGUUUGUUCAGCGGUACCCGCGGAGCAGUGUUGUGAUGAGAAUGUGUAAAUCGUCUCUAGCAAUAUGCGCAAGUGGACUGCCGUGUAUUCAGGCUUGGUUGGUCAGUCUCGAUUUGGGCUGCCGGAAAAGGACUUGGGGAAGGUGGACAUUCGCUUCGGCGCUUGUCUUUAUAGACCCUCGUAGAUACGGUGGACCAGAUCGGCUACGACAGUAGCUAAAAGACUCUGUGGAUCUGCGGCCGUGGACCUGCAAGACUCAAUUGAGACUCGCGGGGCAUCUGGCUGGGAGAAGCGGGGUAGUAUGCUGCGGUGAGUGCUGACGUAAUGGCUUUAAAUGUCCCGUCUUGAAACACGG